This 253-nucleotide ribosomal RNA is filed under the name uncultured bacterium. Its description in RNAcentral is "partial 16S ribosomal RNA". It matches the Rfam family "Bacterial small subunit ribosomal RNA", at positions 524 to 776 of the family's 1533-position model. The record is from RNAcentral.
UACAGAGGUCUCAAGCGUUGUUCGGAUUCAUUGGGCGUAAAGGGUGUGUAGGUGGCGCGCUAAGUCGGGUGUGAAAUUUCAGAGCUUAACUCCGAAACUGCAUUCGAUACUGGCGUGCUUGAGGACUGGAGAGGAGACUGGAAUUCAUGGUGUAGCAGUGAAAUGCGUAGAGAUCAUGAGGAAGACCAGUGGCGAAGGCGGGUCUCUGGACAGUUCCUGACACUGAGACACGAAGGCCAGGGGAGCAAACGGG